GACGAACGCUGGCGGCGUGCUUAACACAUGCAAGUCGAGCGGUAAGGCCCUUUCGGGGGUACACGAGCGGCGAACGGGUGAGUAACACGUGGGUGACCUGCCUUUAGCUCUGGGAUAAGCCUGGGAAACUGGGUCUAAUACCGGAUACGACUCCGCGGUGCAUGCUGUGGGGUGAAAGCCUUGUGCGGCUGGAGAUGGGCCCGCGGCCUAUCAGCUUGUUGGUGGGGUGAUGGCCUACCAAGGCGACGACGGGUAGCCGGCCUGAGAGGGCGACCGGCCACACUGGGACUGAGACACGGCCCAGACUCCUACGGGAGGCAGCAGUGGGGAAUCUUGCGCAAUGGCGAAAGCCUGACGCAGCGACGCCGCGUGA
Molecule: ribosomal RNA, 373 nt
Filed under: uncultured bacterium
Lineage: Bacteria
Description: bacterial SSU rRNA
Rfam family: Bacterial small subunit ribosomal RNA
Source: RNAcentral